CCCUCCUCCUCCCCCCCCUCCCCCCAGCGCCGCUGCAGCUGCUGCCGCCGUCUACGCCCUUCACCAGAGCCUGACCCACGGCUAUGGGGUGGCGCAUGUGGGGCAGGCCCACGUACAGACGGGUCUCGCGGCGGCCCCGCCCCCCCCCCACCCCGGGGCCGCCCAUCCCCCCCCCCAGGUGAUGCUGCUGCACCAGAGCCACGGGGGGGGGGGGGGGGGGGGCGGCGUCACCCCCGGGCCCUUCCCCUACAUCGGCCACCACCAAGUCCAGUCGCAGCAGCUCCAGUUCCACCCCCCGGGCAACUGACGCCGCCCCCCAAGUGGCUCCUUCUGCCCCCCAAGUGUGGGGCUGGAGCGUGGGGGGGAAUCUAUGGGGCAGAGCUGGAGCCGCCCCUCCCCUCCCCCCCCGCGGGGGCUUUUCUAUUAUUUAUAGUGGGGGGAGGGGGGAGGGGGGAACCUUAAAAAUGGCCCCAAAUGACCCAAAAAAGAGGAAAAAAACCCCAAAACCGAAUAAAAAAA
Molecule: long non-coding RNA, 519 nt
Filed under: Strigops habroptila (Kakapo)
Lineage: Eukaryota; Metazoa; Chordata; Aves; Psittaciformes; Psittacidae
Description: lncRNA (ENSSHBG00005018417.1)
Source: RNAcentral